AUGGUUGUCGAUGCCCUGGCCGCCAUCCUAGUUAAGGCCACGGCUGCGGGGCAUAUUCGAGGCUUGGUCCCGCACCUUGUUGGAGGGGGAGGGGUGACCCUUCUCCAAUACGCGGAUGACACCAUUAUUAUGACGGAGGGAUCCGCCCUCGAGAUUUCCAACCUGAAGUUCCUCCUUCUGUGCUUCCAGCAAAUGUCGGGCCUGACCAUCAACUUUGACAAGAGCGAAGUGAUGGUGCUCGGCUACCCCGAUGAGGACGCUCAGUCCAUUGCCGAUCGGCUUAACUGCCGGCUGGGAUCUUUUCCCACGACCUAUCUGGGGAUCCCCAUUAGCGACUCGCGCCUCACCGUGGCGGACCUCCGCCCCACGGUGACCCGUAUGCAGCACCGAGUUGAGCCCUGGAAAGGGCGCUGGCUGUUGAAGGCGGCACGUGUGAUCCUUAUCAACUCGUCGCUUGCCAGCCUUCUGUGGUUCCUCAUGAGCUUUUACAGCUUUCAUGAAACCCUUCAUCAGGAGAUCGCCAAGUACCAGGCCAGAUUUUUCUGGGCUGGCGAGGCAGGCAGACAGAAAUAUCACAUGGUCAGCUGGCCAGACAUCUGCAAACCCAAAGACCAGGGUGGCCUUGGGAUUUUGUCCUCUCGGCGCAUGAACAUCGCCCUCCUCACCCGCUGGCUAUGGCGCAUUGCCAAUGGGGAGGGAGGCCUUUGGUUGACUAUCAUCCGGAACAAGUACCUGCGUGGCUAG
Molecule: ribosomal RNA, 744 nt
Filed under: Triticum aestivum (bread wheat)
Lineage: Eukaryota; Viridiplantae; Streptophyta; Magnoliopsida; Poales; Poaceae
Description: partial small subunit ribosomal RNA
Source: RNAcentral